AUUUGAUAGACAGAAAAAAAGGAAGUUGAGGCAAAGGUCAUGAAGCAAAACCAAAGCUUUGUAACUAGUAGGCCAGGCCCCAGGAUGGAAUCGGAGUCUUUCUUUCUACUGUGUCGCUCUAGUAGUGUUAAGAGGAUGCAGUACUGGUCAGAUCUUUAAUGGGAAUGAUGGUGGUGGUGUUGGGAUUGUUCCAUCUUUUCUUCUCCUCUGUUCCUGUGUAACCCCUUCUUGGUUUUUGUCCCUUUUCCCUCCCCUUUUAUUUCUUUCAGCUCGGAUUCCUUAGCACCACCACUGCUCAGCCAGAACCGAAGGCCCCAAAUCUCGUUGGCAAAUACCGCCAUGUUGACCGUGCCACCGGCCAGGUGCUAACCUGUGACAAGUGUCCAGCAGGAACCUAUGUGUCUGAGCACUGUACCAACACGAGCCUGCGUGUCUGUAGCAGUUGCCCUGUGGGGACCUUUACCAGGCAUGAGAAUGGCAUAGAGAAAUGCCAUGACUGUAGUCAGCCAUGCCCAUGGCCAAUGGUUGAGAAAUUACCUUGUGCUGCCUUGACUGACCGAGAAUGUGCUUGCCCACCUGGCAUGUUCCAGUUUAAUGGUACCUGCGCCCCCCAUACGGUGUGUCCCGUGGGUUGGGGUGUGCGGAAGAAAGGGACAGAGACCGAGGACGUGCGGUGUAAGCAGUGUGCUCGCGGUACCUUCUCUGAUGUGCCUUCUAGUGUGAUGAAAUGCAAAGCAUACACAGACUGUCUGAGUCAGAACCUGGUGGUGAUCAAGCCGGGGACCAAGGAAGCAGACAAUGUCUGUGGCACACUUCCGUCCUCCAGCCCGACCUCACCUGCCCCUGGCACGGCCAUCUUUUCACACCCGGAGCACAUGGAGUCCCAUGAAGUCCCUUCCUCCACUUAUGUUCCCAAAGGCAUGAACUCAACAGAAUCCAACUCUUCUGCCUCUGUUAGACCAAAGGUACCGAGUGGCAUCCAGGAAGGGACAGUCCCUGACAACACAAGCUCAGCGAGGGGUGAGGAAGGCAUGAACAAGACCCUCCCAAGCCUCCAGGUAGUCAACCACCAGCAAGGCCCUCACCACAGACACAUCCUGAAGCUGCUGCCAUCCAUGGAGGCCACUGGGGGUGAGAAAUCCAGCACGCCCAUCAAAGGCCUCAAGAGGGGUCACCCCCGACAGAACUUACACAAGCAUUUUGACAUCAAUGAACAUUUGCCCUGGAUGAUUGUGCUUUUCCUGCUGCUGGUGCUUGUGGUGAUAGUGGUAUGCAGUAUCCGGAAAAGCUCAAGGACUCUGAAAAAGGGGCCCCGGCAGGAUCCCAGCGCCAUUGUGGAAAAGGCAGGGCUGAAGAAAUCCAUAACCCCAACCCAGAACCGGGAGAAGUGGAUCUACUACUGCAAUGGCCAUGGGAUUGACAUCCUGAAACUCGUCGCAGCCCAAGUUGGAAGCCAGUGGAAGGACAUCUACCAGUUUCUGUGCAAUGCCAGUGAGAGAGAAGUGGCUGCUUUCUCCAACGGGUACACGGCCGACCAUGAGCGGGCCUACGCCGCUCUGCAGCACUGGACCAUCCGGGGGCCCGAGGCCAGCCUCGCCCAGUUAAUCAGCGCCCUGCGUCAGCACCGACGCAAUGAUGUCGUGGAGAAGAUUCGGGGACUGAUGGAAGAUACGGCCCAGCUGGAAACUGACAAGCUGGCUCUCCCGAUGAGCCCCGGCCCCCUUAGCCCGAGCCCCAUCCCCAGCCCCAACACAAAACUUGAGAAUUCCACUCUGCUGACGGUGGAGCCUUCCCCGCUGGAUAAGAACAAGGGCUUCUUCGUGGAUGAGUCGGAGCCCCUUCUUCGUUGUGACUCCACAUCCAGCGGCUCCUCCGCGCUGAGCAGGACGGGCUCCUUUAUUACCAAAGAAAAGAAGGACACAGUGUUGCGGCAGGUACGCCUGGACCCCUGUGACUUGCAGCCUAUUUUUGAUGACAUGCUCCACAUUCUGAAUCCUGAGGAGCUGCGGGUGAUUGAAGAGAUUCCUCAGGCUGAGGACAAGCUGGACCGACUGUUUGAGAUUAUCGGAGUCAAGAGCCAGGAAGCCAGUCAGACCCUCUUGGACUCUGUGUAUAGCCAUCUUCCCGACCUAUUGUAGAACCCGAGGGAUACUGCACUCUGGAAAUGACUCAAUGUAGUGGCAGGGUGGUUUUUCGUUGGUUUUGUUUUUGUUUUUCUAGUUUUUUUUUGGGCGUGUGUGUGUGUGUGUGUGUGUGUGUUUAAGAGUAUAUGGCCAGUGUUUUGAGUUCGUUCUUUCUUUUUUUAACCCUUCUAGGAAGUUAGUUUAUAAGCCUUCUCAAGGUGUAACUGUUGAAAAAUACCCACCACUAAAGUUUUUUAGAUCCCAUAUUUUCUCCGUUUUGACUUCUUAUGUAUUUUCAGAAUUGUUCUGUGCACUUUAAAUUCGCUUAAUGAACCACAAAUGCAGUGUGACUUUCCCUGCACACUGGAUUGUGAGGCUCUUCUUAAAAGUAUAAUGGCAUCUUUUGAAUUCUCUAAGCAGUCUUUCAUGUCUCAACAUCCACAUCUGCUUUUUUUUUAAUGAUUACUAUUUUUAUUAUUAUUUGUAAUUUACAAAUUUUCCUAAGGGUUGAAGAAAUGUAAUACCCCGUUGAGUUACUGUAAUACAAUUAGAUUUUGAGUUCUCUUUUUAAUAUGCCUUGGUGUAGAGUUCAUAUUCAUGGCUGAAACUUGACCACACUGUUGCUGAUUGUAUGGUUUUUCACUUGAGCACUGUGUAGAAUGCUUCAUUACUUGUGCUUCUCUUAUGCUAAUAUGCUCUGGGCUGGAGACAGGAAAGCCUCAAGCCAUCAGAACUUGCUAUUUAAGUGGCUUGACAACUGGGCCACCAAAGAACUUGAACUUCAUCUUUUAGGAAUUGAGCUGUUCUGGAACAUACUACUGCACUUUGGAAAGUCACAACUGAGUGCCAGGGGCACCUUUUUCCAUAGGGAAUUUGCCCAGCUUUGCUUUAAAAGAUGUCUUGUUUUUUUAUACACACAUAGUUGGUAGGUCCAGUCUGCCUCAAGGCCUUGGUCUUGGUGGGUCUCCUUCAUUCUUCAAUCACUUUAAUUAAAAAUGGCUGCAGCUAUAAGAACUCUUGUCUGACAUAUUUGCAACUCUGCUCCCAUUUAUAAACCUGCGCUCUCUCUAAUGCUCAGUUGGCAGACUCGAAUGCAAAGGUGGCGUGGACUGCCUUUGUGUGGGCGGGGUUUGUGGGUCGUGGUGAGGGACUGAUAUCAGAAAAAUGCCUUCAAGUGUACUAAUUUAUUAAUAAAUAUUAGGUGUUUGUUAAAUGUAGAGGAGCUUUUAACCAAUUAGAUCAGGCUGCUUUUCAAAGGAGAAAAUGACUCCUACUCUGGGGAAAAGUUGGACAUGCUUCAGUGGUUCUCAACCUUGCAUGUAAAUAAUCACCUGGGAAUGAGCAGUCCUAUAAAGGCAGGUUCCCAGAGAGUUCGAUUCAGAAGGUUUGUGGUGAAGCAGAGAACCAGCAUCUCACACCAUUUUUUCUGGAAACUCAUGUUGGGCUAAGUGCUUGAGAUCCUUGCCACUGUGGACUGCCACAGCACUUGGGAGCUUGUUAAUGCAUAAUUUGAGGCCACUUUGCUAUGCUCCUUAAACUUUAAUGAGCAAAUGAAACACUUGGGGAUCUUGUUAAAAUGCAGAUUCUGUUUCAGUUGUUAGGGGGUGGGUACUUAGGUGACGUGGAUGCUACUGGUCUCUAGAUCACACUGAGGAGCCCAUGACUGUGCUUCGGUUUCAUGCAGAGUAGUGCCAACAUGGGAAAAGACUACACGAAUUCCCAAUGAGAGAAGUAAAUAAUUUCUGACAAUCUGAGGAGAUUUCCAGACUCAGGCAGUCCUGGACUGGUCAAGAUCUACAGCAGUGGUUCUUGAUCCUGGUUGCACAUUGAGAUCAGCAGGGGAGCUUUGGGAAAUCUAAUGCCCAGGCUAAACUCCAUACCACUUAUGCCAGAAUGUAAGUGCCUGGGACCCAGGUAUGAGCAUUUUUUUAAAGCUCCCCAGGAGAUGCCAAUGUGUAGUCAGCUUGGACAGCCACUGAUUUGAGAGUUUGUGAAGAGAGUGCUUCUCAAUCCUCACCCCAGAUCUGAUGGAUAAAUCUUUACAGGGAGUUAACCUGGAAAUCUGCAAUUGUGAUUUUGCUAUACAUAGUCCCACGCAACUCUGCAGACUUGCUUUAGGACCCAUAACCCUACUGUAAAAUUCUAUAUAACUGUUAAGAAUUGAUACACUACCAAGCAUGGAUGGGGCAACAUCUUAAAGCUUCAUUGCACUGAUGAAUAAUUGAUUGAUGCAACUGAUCAAUUCUUCAUGGCUUUGAGCGUUAUGUAUAAGGUAUGAUUAACCAAGAACGUUUGGGAUGUGAUGUUAUUCUGAUUUGUGUUUCUAUAUAUAUUGGAUUGAAGGUUUGCCAAUUUUCAAAAAUAAAGUAAG
RNA transcript from Neomonachus schauinslandi (Hawaiian monk seal), 4494 nucleotides. It is a transcript of the gene named TNF receptor superfamily member 21, with no coding region annotated. The transcript has 6 exons. The record is from RefSeq and is a predicted model, not a curated record. Lineage: Eukaryota; Metazoa; Chordata; Mammalia; Carnivora; Phocidae.